UGGGGAAUCUUGCGCAAUGGGCGAAAGCCUGACGCAGCAACGCCGCGUGCGGGAAGAAGGCCUUCGGGUUGUAAACCGCUGUCAGGAGGGACGAAGCCACUCGGGUGAAUAGCCCAGAGGGUGACGGUACCUCCAGAGGAAGCCCCGGCUAACUACGUGCCAGCAGCCGCGGUAAUACGUAGGGGGCGAGCGUUGUCCGGAAUCAUUGGGCGUAAAGCGCGUGUAGGCGGCUUGUCAAGUCCGGUGUGAAAUCUCGGGGCUCAACCCCGAAACUGCAUUGGAAACUGGCUUGCUAGAGUCCGGAAGAGGAGAUUGGAAUUCCUGGUGUAGCGGUGAAAUGCGCAGAUAUCAGGAAGAACACCCGUGGCGAAGGCGGAUCUCUGGGACGGUACUGACGCUGAGACGCGAAAGCGUGGGGAGCGAACA
RNAcentral lists this ribosomal RNA (426 nucleotides) under uncultured prokaryote. RNAcentral describes it as "bacterial SSU rRNA". It matches the Rfam family "Bacterial small subunit ribosomal RNA", at positions 355 to 774 of the family's 1533-position model. The record is from RNAcentral.